UACGGAGGGUCCGAACGUUAUCCGGAAUCAUUGGGUUUAAAGGGUCCGUAGACGAGCGUCUAAGUCAAUAGUGAAAUUCUACAGCUCAACUGUAGAACUGCCAUUGAUACUAAUCGUCUUGAAUCGUUGUGAAAUGGCUAGAAUAUGUAGUGUAGCGAUGAAAUGCUUAGAUAUUACAUAGAAUACCGAUUGCGAAGACAGGUCACUAACAACGCAUUGACGCUGAUGGACGAAAGCAUGGAGAGCGAACAGG
RNAcentral lists this ribosomal RNA (253 nucleotides) under uncultured bacterium. Its description in RNAcentral is "partial 16S ribosomal RNA". It matches the Rfam family "Bacterial small subunit ribosomal RNA", at positions 524 to 776 of the family's 1533-position model. The record is from RNAcentral.